UCGGUGUGUCCCUGGCGAAGCUUGAGCCUGCUAGCCAGCGGUGCUCUGCGUUCCCGGGGCUGGAGCAGCGGCCCAUAGUGGCUUCCCGGGUUCAUCCCUCGCUGACCCUGCGCCACGGAAGCCCUAGCCCCGGAGGUCGCUGGUAUUUCCUCGCACGCGGACCCUUCUGGGGUGCGUGGGGAACAGGCAGUUUGCUGCCUCGGCCCGGCUGGUCCCUGCAAACCCCAAAGAAUUUCAACAGAGACACUUGCUGGGCUCUCGCUCGGCUUUCAGCCUUGCGCAAACAUUUUGUUUUUGUUUGUGUGGGGUUUUUUUUGCUCUCAGACUCCGUCUGUGCCUAUUUCACACAAAAACGAAGGCCGGAUUAUCAGUGCUGCCAACAUAGGGGAAUGAGGCAAACACUUGGGAGCCCUAAAUUUAAAAUAAAUUAUAAAAUACAAAAAAACCAUGAAAACCUGAUGAAAUGAACAAUAGAAUUCACUUCGAAAGUACCAGGUUUUCCAGGACGCUGUAGGAAAUCUGAUCACUAGUUCAAGGUCUCAGUGCAAUUCUCUUAGGAAACUUAAACCUCGGGCUUUUUUGUAAUGUCUCUUUAUCCUUGCAAAAUUUGUCAUACCUUCCCCGAGUUUAUUAGAGUUAUGCAUUUUAUAUUUUUCUCCUCUAAGGGUCUGCUGAUGAAGUUAAUGAAUAUCUGUGCUAGAUUUAUGGUGAAAGCAUUAUAAUUAAUUUAGUAAAGCAUAAUUUCUACAUCAAAAAAUUAAUUUUAAAUAAAACUAGAACAUGGAAAUGAAAUGUUUCUUCAGACAUUUCUUCAGAAAACAUUUCAUAUUCUAUUUUCUUUAGAGUCAACAUUUUGAUGUCAUUUUAGAAUACUUGAUUCUCAUCUCAACCUUUAAUAUUACACAAUAAUACACAUUAAUUAAGUGCCAUAAUCUAUAUUAAAAUGUCAUUUUCCAUUGUUAUUUACUAGCACCUUACAAAUUGAAACGUAACAUAAUACUUUGUAUCUGAUUAUUAAAAUAUUAGAGUUUUAAAAUCUGUUUGGUAAAGUUUUUAAUUACUAUAUUUUUUUAUACUACAAG
RNAcentral lists this long non-coding RNA (1082 nucleotides) under Homo sapiens (human). RNAcentral's name for it is "HSALNT0030168". The record is from RNAcentral. Lineage: Eukaryota; Metazoa; Chordata; Mammalia; Primates; Hominidae.